Molecule: ribosomal RNA, 1407 nt
Filed under: metagenome
Description: bacterial LSU rRNA
Rfam family: Bacterial large subunit ribosomal RNA
Source: RNAcentral
AGCUGGGGCAAGCGAGAUACCUGCGCACCAGGGAAAUCCGGUGCGCGCAAGGGGAAGGCGCGAAGCAUACGGAAAGCUGCGGCAAGUACGGAAAAGCUGAGAGCAGGCUUCCAGGAAAAGCUUCUAGCACAACACGCAUCGGCCCGUACCGAAAAUGGACACACAUGGGCAAGGAGAGAAUCCUGAGGUGAGCGAGAGAACUAUAGCUAAGGAACUCUGCAAAAUGACCCCGUAACUUAGGGAGAAGGGGUGCUCCAGAAAUGGAGCCGCAGUAAAACGGCCCAAGCGACUGUUUACCAAAAACACAGCUCUCUGCGAAGGCGCAAGCCGAAGUAUAGGGGGUGACGCCUGCCCGGUGCUGGAAGGUCAAGGGGAGCUGUCAGCGCAAGCGAAGCAGCGAGCCGAAGCCCCAGUAAACGGCGGCCGUAACAAUAACGGUCCUAAGGUAGCGAAAUUCCUUGUCGGGCAAGUUCCGACCCGCACGAAAGGCGUAACGAUUUGGGCGCUGUCUCAGCUGUAGACUCGGUGAAGUCUUAGUACCUGUGAAGAUGCAGGUUGCCCGCGACUAGACGGAAAGACCCCAUGGAGCUUCACUGCAGGUUGACAUUGGGCUUGGAUGCAUGAUGUACAGGAUAGGUGGGAGGCUGUGAGCCGUGCGCGCCAGCGUACGGGGAGCCGCUGUUGGGAUACCACCCUUCAUGCAUCUAGGUCCUAACCGGAGGCAACGGGCCACGGGACAGUGUCAGUCGGGCAGUCUGACUGGGGCGGUCGCCUCCCAAAGAGUAACGGAGGCGCCCAAAGAUACCCUCAGCAUGGAUGGAAACCAUGCAUAGAGUGCAAAGGCAUAAGGGUGUCCGACUGCGAGACAUACAGGUCGAGCAGGGACGAAAGUCGGGCUUAGUGAUCCGGCGGAUCCGAAUGGAAGGGCCGUCGCUCAACGGAUAAAAGCUACCCUGGGGAUAACAGGCUGAUCUCCCCCAAGAGUUCACAUCGACGGGGAGGUUUGGCACCUCGAUGUCGGCUCAUCGCAUCCUGGAGCUGAAGUCGGUUCCAAGGGUUGGGCUGUUCGCCCAUUAAAGCGGUACGCGAGCUGGGUUCAGAACGUCGUGAGACAGUUCGGUCCCUAUCUGUCGUGGGCGCAGGAGGUUUGAGGAGAGCUGCCCCUAGUACGAGAGGACCGGGGUGGACGGACCGAUGGUGCACCAGUUGUCACGCCAGUGGCACAGCUGGGCAGCCAAGUCCGGACGGGAUAAGCGCUGAAGGCAUCUAAGCGUGAAGCCCCCUCCAAGAUGAGACCUCCCAUUGGCGACAAGUAAGGCCCCUCGAAGACGACGAGGUUGAUAGGCCGCGAGUGCAAGCGCAGCGAUGUGCUUAGCGGGGCGGUACUAAUAGGCCGAGGACUUGGCC